AAAGUGAAGGAACCAGUGGAAUCUGAAAAACAGGAAGGUCAAGAAAAAGGAGAAGAACCUAAAGAUAAAACUUACGUACCACCCCCGCCAUAUAAACCGCCUAUACCAUAUCCGCAAAGACUCAAACAAACCCAGAUCAAUAACCAAUAUCAAAAUUUUAUUAAGGUUAUAGAAAAACGUCACGUAGAAAUCCCUUUCACAUAAGCCAUCACCCAAAUACCUUCUUAUGCAAAGUUUCUCAAAGACAUC
This 249-nucleotide long non-coding RNA is filed under the name Lathyrus oleraceus (garden pea). Its description in RNAcentral is "Pisum sativum (pea) long non-coding RNA (PSAT_LNC035647)". The record is from RNAcentral. Lineage: Eukaryota; Viridiplantae; Streptophyta; Magnoliopsida; Fabales; Fabaceae.